UGCUUUUGCUGCACAGCAGGACAGCUGGAAAACGCAUCAAAAGAUUGUCUGACAUUGUCCUAGUACACCUUACAAAACAACAACACGGGGCACAAGGCAGCCCUGUGGAGAACAUGGACCCCGCUGGCCAUUCGGAGGCUUAUGACAGGGUCUCUGGACACAGGAUACUUUUAAUGUAGGCGACUGGAACUUUUACUUUUGCACAAGAGCCUUGGUGUUAUUGAAACCAGUUUUCCUCUGAAGGAAAUAAUGUUUUUAGACUCCUUUCCCUCUCCCCCUCCCCAUUUGAUGGACUCCAGACUCAACCCUCUCAAGGACUUCGCCUCGGAGAAACUUCAGCUCCGUUCAGUGACCAUGGAUUGAGCGACUAUGGCUUGCCACCCGGACGACUAAGUAGGAGAGAGGCAGAGAGGCCCAGGAGAGGCUCUACCCUUACAGCCCUCACCAGCACUGAAGGGGACAUGUUUAUUUCCACUCUGUAAUCGUCACCGCCCUCAGAAUCUCUAGAUCAGGGGCUGGCAAACGAUGGCCUGAUGGAGCAAGUUUGCCAACCCCAGCUUUAGAGACUUGACAAUUGACUAUGCUUCUCCUUCAAUAUACGAUGGAAUGAUAACAAUGCUAGUGAUGAUGACAGUGGUUCUACAGAAGGUGGUGACCAAACAUCUCCAAAUGAUCUCUGUUUCAUCUUGCAAACAAAGGAGAGCAGUCACAGAACAAGAGCAAUCAGCAGUGGUGGUUUCUUCCCUAUGGAGCUGCAGAUGAUGCUCUGAGGAGCCACAUAGCUCCUCGCUGGGACACAGAUGCACAUAUAAAAAGUGCCUGUCAGAACAACCUACAUUUCUCCGGUGUUUACAACUUGACAGGUGCUGUGCCUGCAUUUUCUCGCUUAAUCCACACAGCAUCUCUAUGAGUUUGGAUGGUUGGGACUCCCAUUUGAUGGACAAGGAGAUGCUGCCCAAAGUCAAGCAACUAGUAUUUGUGGGACUUGGGAGUUGAGCCCAAGAAGCCUGAUACCAGAGCCCCACUCCACCCUCUGUGCCUUACUGCUCUAGGUCUUAGAAGUGAUGUAUGGGGGGUGGUACCAACAAUGGAGUAACAAAUGACUGAAGUGAGUACCAAAGGUGUGUGGAAGAACAGUGUGCCAACUAUAUUGUGAGCCUUGGACCAUUGGGAUCUUUUUAUGUUCAUCUCAUUGUCUUCAGGAUUGCUUUGGGUAUAUUUGCUGGAUUACAUUGAGUAGAACAUAUCGUGUCAACAAAUAUGCCAGCAUAUGUUCUCUCUAUGGAGCUAGCUUUUUGCUUGGUCUCACCUUUAAACUUUGCCAUUCCCUUACCUCCUAUGUCUUUCGCACCUGUGUGCUUGGUUAACACUGUUCCAUUGCCAUGAAAUCCCUUUCUCCCCAUCUCCACCUAGCAAACACCUAUUCACCCUUAGGCUAGGUUGGAUAUCACUUCCUCAAGGGACACUUUCCAUGACUUUUGUAGAGAAUUCCUUCUCCAUGUUCUACAAGGAUGUGAUUCAUCUUGCCUCCAGCACAGCAUGUCUUCAUGCUCUCUAUACCAGCAUUUAACACAGUGCGUGGCUUUCUGAUGGCAUUUAGUAAAAGCUUAUUGGAUUAAUAAACAAAUGUCAAACAGGUAAAUAUUCUGAUGUAAAGUCUCUCUCAAAUUCCCCAGAACCACUUUUUCUGGAUAAGAAAAAUUUCCAGAACU
Ailuropoda melanoleuca (giant panda) is the source of this 1712-nucleotide long non-coding RNA. RefSeq lists it as uncharacterized. Lineage: Eukaryota; Metazoa; Chordata; Mammalia; Carnivora; Ursidae. The record is from RefSeq and is a predicted model, not a curated record. The transcript has 3 exons.